GACGCUGGCGGCGUGCCUAACACAUGCAAGUCGUAAACGGUAACUUUUUUAAAAGAUUUCUUCGGAAUGUAAUUUGAUUAAGUUUAGUGGCGGACGGGUGAGUAACGCGUGAGUAACCUGCCUCUAAGAGGGGAAUAACAUUCUGAAAAGAAUGCUAAUACCGCAUAACAUAUAUUUAUCGCAUGGUAGAUAUAUCAAAGAUUUAUCGCUUAGAGAUGGACUCGCGUCCGAUUAGUUAGUUGGUGAGGUAACGGCUCACCAAGACCGCGAUCGGUAGCCGGACUGAGAGGUUGAACGGCCGCAUUGGGACUGAGACACGGCCCAGACUCCUACGGGAGGCAGCAGUGGGGGAUAUUGCGCAAUGGGGAAACCCCUGACGCAGCAACGCCGCGUGAAGGAUGAAGGUCUUCGGAUUGUAAACUUCUUUUAUUAAGGACGAAGAAAGUGACGGUACUUAAUGAAUAAGCUCCGGCUAACUACGUG
Molecule: ribosomal RNA, 483 nt
Filed under: uncultured bacterium
Lineage: Bacteria
Description: bacterial SSU rRNA
Rfam family: Bacterial small subunit ribosomal RNA
Source: RNAcentral